UCCUACGGGAGGCAGCAGUGGGGAAUAUUGGACAAUGGGCGCAAGCCUGAUCCAGCCAUGCCGCGUGUGUGAAGAAGGCUUUCGGGUUGUAAAGCACUUUCAGUGGGGAAGAAGGCCUUGGGGUUAAUAACCCCGAGGAAGGACAUCACCCACAGAAGAAGCACCGGCUAACUCCGUGCCAGCAGCCGCGGUAAUACGGAGGGUGCGAGCGUUAAUCGGAAUUACUGGGCGUAAAGCGCGCGUAGGUGGCUUGAUAAGCCGGUUGUGAAAGCCCCGGGCUCAACCUGGGAACGGCAUCCGGAACUGUCAGGCUAGAGUGCAGGAGAGGAAGGUAGAAUUCCCGGUGUAGCGGUGAAAUGCGUAGAGAUCGGGAGGAAUACCAGUGGCGAAGGCGGCCUUCUGGACUGACACUGACACUGAGGUGCGAAAGCGUGGGUAGCAAACAGGAUUAGAUACCCUGGUAGUCCACGCCGUAAACGAUGUCGACUAGCCGUUGGGGUCCUAGAGACCUUUGUGGCGCAGUUAACGCGAUAAGUCGACCGCCUGGGGAGUACGGCCGCAAGGUUAAAACUCAAAUGAAUUGACGGGG
RNAcentral lists this ribosomal RNA (589 nucleotides) under uncultured Halomonas sp. Its description in RNAcentral is "bacterial SSU rRNA". It matches the Rfam family "Bacterial small subunit ribosomal RNA", at positions 337 to 918 of the family's 1533-position model. Lineage: Bacteria; Pseudomonadati; Pseudomonadota; Gammaproteobacteria; Oceanospirillales; Halomonadaceae. The record is from RNAcentral.